RNAcentral lists this ribosomal RNA (440 nucleotides) under uncultured bacterium. Its description in RNAcentral is "partial 16S ribosomal RNA". It matches the Rfam family "Bacterial small subunit ribosomal RNA", at positions 338 to 795 of the family's 1533-position model. The record is from RNAcentral.
CCUACGGGUAGCAGCAGUGGGGAAUAUUGCUCAAUGGGGGAACCCCUGCAGCAGCGACGCCGCGUGGAGGAUGAAGGUUUUCGGCUUGUAAACUCCUUUUGUUAGAGAAGAUAAUGACGGUAUCUAACGAAUAAGCACCGGCUAACUCCGUGCCAGCAGACGCGGUAAUACGGAGGGUGCAGUCGUUACUCGGAAUCACUGGGGGUAAAGAGCGCGUAGGCGGGAUAGCAAGUCAGAUGUGAAAUCCUAUGGCUUAACCAUAGAACUGCAUUUGAAACUGGUAGUCUAGAGUACAGGAGAGGUAGGCGGAAUUCUUGGUGUAGGGGUAAAAUGCGUAGAGAUCAAGAGGAACACUCAUUGCGAAGGCGACCUGCUGGAACGCAACUGACGCUGAGGCGCGAAAGCGUGGGGAGCAAACAGGAUUAGAUACCCGAGUAGUC